RNAcentral lists this ribosomal RNA (504 nucleotides) under uncultured bacterium. RNAcentral's name for it is "bacterial SSU rRNA". It matches the Rfam family "Bacterial small subunit ribosomal RNA", at positions 28 to 505 of the family's 1533-position model. The record is from RNAcentral.
GAUGAACGCUAGCGACAGGCCUAACACAUGCAAGUCGAGGGGCAACGGGGCGUAGCAAUACGCUGCCGGCGACCGGCGGAUGGGUGAGUAACGCGUAUGCAACCUGCCUUCAGCAGGGGGAUAGCCCGUUGAAAGACGGAUUAAUACCCCAUAACACAGGGGCUCCGCAUGGAGAUUAUUGUUAAAGGGAUGCUUCCUUCGGGGGUAUUCCGGCUGAAGAUGGGCAUGCGUUCCAUUAGGUAGUUGGUUGAGGUAACGGCUCACCAAGCCUGCGAUGGAUAGGGGAACUGAGAGGUUGGUCCCCCACACUGGUACUGAGACACGGACCAGACUCCUACGGGAGGCAGCAGUGAGGAAUCUUGGUCAAUGGACGGAAGUCUGAACCAGCCAUGUCGCGUGAAGGAGGACGGCCCUAAGGGUUGUAAACUUCUUUUGCAGCGGAAUAAAGUAUUCCACGUGAUGGGAUAUUGCAAGUACGCUGCGAAUAAGGAUCGGCUAACUCCG